This 69-nucleotide transfer RNA is filed under the name Cherax preissii. RNAcentral describes it as "tRNA-Val". Lineage: Eukaryota; Metazoa; Arthropoda; Malacostraca; Decapoda; Parastacidae. The record is from RNAcentral.
AAAAUAAAGCUAAAAAUUAGUAUUUCACUUACGUUGAAAAGGUUGUCGCAGGGGGCGAUUUAUUUUGAG